Non-coding RNA from Macaca mulatta (Rhesus monkey), 820 nucleotides. Lineage: Eukaryota; Metazoa; Chordata; Mammalia; Primates; Cercopithecidae. The record is from RefSeq and is a predicted model, not a curated record.
GGCCAUGUUUAAAGCUGUGCCGUACAACGGAUGGUUACGCCCUUUCUUUGCCCGACCAAAAGAUAAGGCUAUUUUAGGACAAGGAGAAGCAAGUGUCCCUGGAUCCCUAAACAGAGAUGUCAUCUCUGCUCUUAACUCAGCAUCCCAGAUGCCAAAACCUCCUGUGACUAACAUGGGGGCGCCCAGACAUCAAUGCUGAGCUUUCUUUGUUUCCAGCAGCCUGAUAAGAUGGCCGCGAACAUUUUUACCGCUUCUUACGUGCAAUGGGUGCAGCCUCUCCUAGGAGGAGUUCCCCUAUGGCAAUGUGAAACUUUUUCUGAGCCAGCUCUGGGAGUUACAGAGCAGCGAAGAGACUCGCUCUUCUUUUAGGGAGACAGAGACAGCCUAAGGAGGGGGCGUGACUUCACGGAAAGGGCGGAGCCGCAAGGAAAGGGCGGGGCUGCCGCAGCGGGAAGAGAUCUGAGUUCUUAGCGCAUAAUGGAAAGGAAAUGUUGAAAGCAAGAUUUUUACCUAAGGAGGCUUGCCCGAUAAGCCGACCUGAGGGAAGAAUAUGAGUGCAAGAAGUUUAUUUGAGCCACUCCAGAGGUGUUAAAGCUCCAGCACUUCCAGCCUGCCUCAUGGGAAGGUCUUAGGCUGAGUCUAUAGGUGCCUGCAGUAAGAAGCCAGCGGUCUGCAUAUGAUUGCCCAGGGGUAGUGGCUGGGUACCAACAACAUUCACUACAGGCCUGCCUUGGAUACCGCCUAACGCAGUGCUCUGCAUAUCAAAGACGGAGUUUCACUCUUGUUGCCCAGGCUGGAGUGCAUUGGUGCAAUUUCGGCU